Molecule: long non-coding RNA, 442 nt
Filed under: Mustela putorius furo (domestic ferret)
Lineage: Eukaryota; Metazoa; Chordata; Mammalia; Carnivora; Mustelidae
Description: lncRNA (ENSMPUG00000031927.1)
Source: RNAcentral
UUGCUCUGUACAACUACCCUGAGAGAUUUCUUUUUUGCCCAUUCUAGAUGGUCAUAUCUUCUGGACUGUUUCGGGUGAUCGGGAGCUAUCUGCAUCCUGAAAUGGAUAACCAGCACCUUCAAUUGAUCAAGUCCAGGUCCCAUUCAUUCAGCUGUUGGUCAGUCUUCCUGCAUAAAAUAAUGUUGAUGAUAACCUUCAUAAUGACCAAGAAUUUCUAUCAAUUCCUAUUGGAAUGUCUUUCACCAAAAUAUGAGAGAAAUAGAGAAAAUGGGGUCCAGGGAAUUGAGGAUUGAACAUAAGAGAAAGGAAGAUGUAAUUAUCAGGAUGGUGUUGAAGAGAAUUCCCAAGACAGCAGCAGCAGCCCUAUGGGGCAAGCAGACAAGAGUGGAACAGGAAGAUUUAUGUUUUCAGUAGGAUGCCUUAAAGAGAAAAUAAAGUAAAG